GAUCCUGGCUCAGGAUGAACGCUAGCUACAGGCUUAACACAUGCAAGUCGAGGGGCAGCAUGAACUUAGCUUGCUAAGUUUGAUGGCGACCGGCGCACGGGUGAGUAACACGUAUCCAACCUGCCGAUGACGUCGGGGAUAGUCCUUUACGAAAGAAAGAUUAACUACCCGAUGGCAUAGUUCUUCCGCAUGGUAGAACUAUUAAAGUAAUUUCGGUCAUCGAGUGGGGAUGCGUUCCAGUUAGGUUGG
RNAcentral lists this ribosomal RNA (249 nucleotides) under uncultured bacterium. RNAcentral's name for it is "partial 16S ribosomal RNA". It matches the Rfam family "Bacterial small subunit ribosomal RNA", at positions 15 to 249 of the family's 1533-position model. The record is from RNAcentral.